AUUGAACGCUGGCGGCAUGCUUUACACAUGCAAGUCGAACGGCAGCGCGGGCUUCGGCCUGGCGGCGAGUGGCGAACGGGUGAGUAAUGCAUCGGAACGUGCCCAGUAGUGGGGGAUAGCCCGGCGAAAGCCGGAUUAAUACCGCAUACGACCCGAGGGUGAAAGCGGGGGGCCGAAAGGCCUCGCGCUAUUGGAGCGGCCGAUGUCGGAUUAGCUAGUUGGUGGGGUAAAGGCUUACCAAGGCGACGAUCCGUAGCUGGUCUGAGAGGACGACCAGCCACACUGGGACUGAGCCACGGCCCAGACUCCUACGGGAGGCAGCAGUGGGGAAUGUUGGACAAUGGGGGCAACCCUGAUCCAGCCAUGCCGCGUGCGGGAAGAAGGCCUGCGGGUUGUAAACCGCUUUUGUUCGGGAAGAAAGCCUCUGGGCUAAUACCCCGGGGGGAUGACGGUACCGGAAGAAUAAGCACCGGCUAACUACGUG
This 484-nucleotide ribosomal RNA is filed under the name uncultured bacterium. RNAcentral's name for it is "partial 16S ribosomal RNA". It matches the Rfam family "Bacterial small subunit ribosomal RNA", at positions 28 to 507 of the family's 1533-position model. The record is from RNAcentral.